AAGAAACCGUAAGGUUAGUUUCAAUUACGAGCAAGUCUAACAUACCUUCAGAAGGUGUGUCCUUUUUGUUCUUUAGGCUCUCGAGGUAUGAAGGGUAGUUCCUUUUCCAGUGGCCGUCGACAUUGCAGUGGAAAUAUUUUUCCUUGUCACUAGCCUUUUUCUUAUGAACUUCCUUCUUAGGCUUCUUAUCUUUCUUCUGCUUCUUUAUAGGCUUCUUUUU
This 220-nucleotide long non-coding RNA is filed under the name Phoenix dactylifera (date palm). RNAcentral describes it as "long non-coding RNA (PDAC_LNC013658)". Lineage: Eukaryota; Viridiplantae; Streptophyta; Magnoliopsida; Arecales; Arecaceae. The record is from RNAcentral.